CUGCCCAAUACUGCUGCUGUGGAAAGCUGCUUAGUGUGCGCUACGGGGAAGGAAUGGGGCAGGGCUGUGCUGCUUGUCAACGAUAAUGGAAUUAUAAUGACUUGUGGAGAUGGAAGCUAAGGCUGCGUGAUCCGGCGAGACUUAAUCAGCACCUCAGGGCCACAAUUGAUUGAAGCCCAUACUCAGCAGGUCUGUCCGAGCCAUUGCCUGUGGCCCAAAUCACAUUGUCUGCAUCGCCAGCGAUGGGGAGAUUUGAUUGACACUUACCCUAUGUGAAGCCUGUCUUUCUGGCCACCACCCUGAACGUUUGUUUCCACUGCUCAUUUGCUUCCUGGAUUACAGUAGAAACGAAGAAAGCUGCAUAGGAAAGUCAGCCCAGAGAGCUGCAGGGGCAUUGUAAUGAUUUGCCAGUAAGAAUCUGGGAAGCAGCAGCCAGCAGUAUCUGUGAUUACACUGAAAAAACAAGAUGGUUGCAAGAUGGGGAAAAAAGUGCAUAGUUAACCAGGGGAUUGAGGUAAGAUAAAUACAAUCCAAAUGUUCCAUGAAGCACGUAUAGUUCAUGCAGUAUUUAAAACAAUAUAGAUGAGCUGUACAGAAUUCGACAUUCACCACCCAAAGCAUGCUAUUAUUAUUAUUGUUAUUAUUAUUGAAUGUUGACCAGGUCCUAAUGAAACUGAACCAGAUGCUAGUAUUCACAAUUUUGAACAAGUCAGAUGUCAGCAAAUGGUUCCCAAACAUAACAAUUCGUUACCUUGAUGUACUGCCAAGUCAGAUGUCAGCAAAUGGUUCCCAAACAUAACAAUUCGUUACCUUGCUUCUGUAGAAUUUGUGCUAACUGCAGGCUGACAAGAUGGUUUCCAUUUGCAGAUCUGUGAGUAGUGGUUUAACAGUCACCUGGCCUGUGCGUCAGGGCUGUGAAAUCUGGAAGCAGUAAAACCUUAGAACAAGAAGGCAUGAAAGUGGGUCUGGUUGACAUCUGACCUCUUCUCUACAGUUCCUUUGAGCUGUUAAAAUGCAAGCGUAGCAAAAGUCAAAAGACAGCUGGGGUCUUUUCUGCAUUUGGAACAUGUGGACCGAGGGAAGGCAGGGGGCCCAUACUCAGCUCUACCUCAACUGCUUUUGGGUCAGGAAAACGUGUAUUUAUUCCCUUAGCAGUGAUCUGCUCCUAGAUCUGUUUUCACUGCUUUUAUGGAGUGCCUUGCCCCUUUCUUCCAAGUUCCAUAUUUUCAGAUUUACGGUAUGAUCUUCAAAGUAAAUGUGGAAAACAGUACUUGGUGCUACUAAUUUUUUUUUAU
Polyodon spathula (Mississippi paddlefish) is the source of this 1295-nucleotide long non-coding RNA. RefSeq lists it as uncharacterized. The transcript has 4 exons. The record is from RefSeq and is a predicted model, not a curated record. NCBI's taxonomy places the organism in Eukaryota, Metazoa, Chordata, Actinopteri, Acipenseriformes, Polyodontidae.